This 180-nucleotide ribosomal RNA is filed under the name uncultured bacterium. RNAcentral's name for it is "partial 16S ribosomal RNA". It matches the Rfam family "Bacterial small subunit ribosomal RNA", at positions 1320 to 1500 of the family's 1533-position model. The record is from RNAcentral.
AUGAAGCCGGAAUCGCUAGUAAUCGCGGAUCAGAAUGCCGCGGUGAAUACGUUCCCGGGUCUUGUACACACCGCCCGUCACACCAUGGGAGUUGGAAAUGCCCGAAGUCAGUGGCCCAACCGGAAGGGGGAGCUGCCGAAGGCAGGUUCGAUGACUGGGGUGAAGUCGUAACAAGGUACC